Molecule: ribosomal RNA, 301 nt
Filed under: uncultured bacterium
Lineage: Bacteria
Description: partial 16S ribosomal RNA
Rfam family: Bacterial small subunit ribosomal RNA
Source: RNAcentral
CAGCAGCCACGGUAAUACGAAGGGUGCAAGCGUUAAUCGGAAUUACUGGGCGUAAAGCGUGCGUAGGCGGUGAGUUAAGUCUGCUGUGAAAUCCCCGGGCUCAACCUGGGAAUGGCGGUGGAUACUGGCUCGCUAGAGUGUGUCAGAGGAUGGUGGAAUUCCCGGUGUAGCGGUGAAAUGCGUAGAGAUCGGGAGGAACAUCAGUGGCGAAGGCGGCCAUCUGGGACAACACUGACGCUGAGGCACGAAAGCGUGGGGAGCAAACAGGAUUAGAUACCCGCGUAGUCCCUGUCUCUUAUAC